CCUACGGGUGGCAGCAGUGGGGAAUAUUGGGCAAUGGGCGCAAGCCUGAACCAGCCAAGCAGCGUGAAGGAUGACGGUCCUACGGUUUGUAAACUCCGUUUAUAAAGGAGUACAGUCAGUCACGUAAGCCGUUUUGUAUGUACGUUAUGAUUAAAGAUCGGCUCAACCCGUUCCAUCAGACCCGGUAAUAUGGAAGGUCCGAUCGUUAAGCGGAUUGGUUGGGUUGAAAGGAACCGUAGAUGGGUUGUUAAGUCAGUUGGGAAAGUUAGGGGCUCAACCGUAAAAUUGCAAUUGAUACUGGCAGACUUGAGUGCAGUAGAGGUUAGUGGAAUUCGAGGUGUAGGGGUGAAAUGCUUAGAUAUCACGAGGAACAACGAUUGCGAAGGCAGCCUACU
Molecule: ribosomal RNA, 395 nt
Filed under: uncultured bacterium
Lineage: Bacteria
Description: partial 16S ribosomal RNA
Rfam family: Bacterial small subunit ribosomal RNA
Source: RNAcentral